Molecule: long non-coding RNA, 213 nt
Filed under: Gossypium barbadense (sea-island cotton)
Lineage: Eukaryota; Viridiplantae; Streptophyta; Magnoliopsida; Malvales; Malvaceae
Description: long non-coding RNA (GBAR_LNC005610)
Source: RNAcentral
UAAACCUGAAGGUACUUGGUGUUCCACCUUUACUUGUUGACAAACUAAGCAUUUCGAUACAAACUUUGAGAUAUCUCUUUUUAUACCAUUCACCAAUACAUUUUCUUCAAGUCAUUAUACAUUUUUUCUCUGCCUGGGUGAACUGACAAACAACCGUUGUGCGACUCAUGUAAAAUAUUCCAAAUCAACUUAGUGUAUUUUGGAACACAAAUC